RNAcentral lists this unclassified non-coding RNA (258 nucleotides) under Hevea brasiliensis (rubber tree). Lineage: Eukaryota; Viridiplantae; Streptophyta; Magnoliopsida; Malpighiales; Euphorbiaceae. The record is from RNAcentral.
CGACCAUCACGGUGCCUGCCGCGAUGGUCACGAUGCCGCCGAUGAGAAGACGGCGCGGUCCGAGCGUGCGGAUCGCCUCGCUGACGAACACGACCAGAACCGCGCUGAACAGAUAGUAACAGGUGGUCGCCGUCGAAAUCAGUGAAGCCGGCCAUCCAUGAAGGCGUUGCAGUUCGGCAAGGUAGACGCCNNNNNNNCCGGCAGCCCAGGCGAAUGUCGCGACAAGGAAGCAGACCCCGACGACCGGCCAGCCCUCAU